This 329-nucleotide RNase P RNA is filed under the name Pseudomonas aeruginosa. RNAcentral's name for it is "partial RNase P RNA component class A". It matches the Rfam family "Bacterial RNase P class A". Rfam says of the family: Ribonuclease P (RNase P) is a ubiquitous endoribonuclease, found in archaea, bacteria and eukarya as well as chloroplasts and mitochondria. Lineage: Bacteria; Pseudomonadati; Pseudomonadota; Gammaproteobacteria; Pseudomonadales; Pseudomonadaceae. The record is from RNAcentral.
GCGGGGGGGAGAAAAGUCGGGGCCCCAAAGGGAAAGGUGCCAGGUAACGCUGGGGGGGUGUCACACCACACGCCCAGGGAAACAGAAGGAAAACCGCCGAUGGCCCGCGCAAGCGGGAUCAGGUAAGGGUGAAAGGGUGCGGUAAGAGCGCACCGCGCGGCUGGUAACAGUCCGCGGCACGGUAAACUCCACCCGGAGCAAGGCCAAAUAGGGGUUCAUAAGGUACGGCCCGUACUGAACCCGGGUCGGCUGCUUGAGCCAGUGAGCGAUUGCUGGCCUAGAUGAAUGACUGUCCACGACAGAACCCGGCUUAUUGGUCAGCUUCACCU